Molecule: long non-coding RNA, 508 nt
Organism: Vidua macroura (Pin-tailed whydah)
Lineage: Eukaryota; Metazoa; Chordata; Aves; Passeriformes; Viduidae
Exons: 4
Source: RefSeq, a predicted model, not a curated record
UCUGGUGACUUGCUUUUCUUCUAGAUAGAAGACAUUUAGAGGACAGGUAUCUGCAAUGGUGAAUGUGUUACUGAUAAGAAGGAUGUAAAUGAAAAGUGCUGCUAUUGAUUGUCACCCAGAACUCUUGAGAAAAAGCUUUGCUCAGUGUUUGUGACUGCCAGUGAAGUCUGUUCUUUAGUUGUAUACUGGAGGAGGAAGUUCUGGUAGCCUGGCUCAGCUAGCAGGCUUUCAAUUUGAGGACCAGUGCAGGCAGCCUGAUUCCUUGUGUUUGAACAUGAUGUAUGCAGGAUGUGGAUUGAAAAACAUGGAGAACACCAAGUGAAUCAUAAGAUCCUUUUGUCUGUUGAGCUUUCUGCACAAGGGAGUCGGUUUCUUAGAAAAUAGAUAGCUAUGCAGAAGGGCAAGGAAAAAUGGAGUACUUGAACCUGCUGAUGGCCUAUGUGAGAAACACAUCAAAAGCUACCACUGUGAUCCCUAUAAAUAAUAAAUAAAAGGUUGAAUAAAAGGC